UGGGCUGUAGCGCAGAGGUCGUCGCGCCGUCUUGCCAGGACGGAGGACGCCGGUUCGAUUCCGGCCGGUCCACC
This 74-nucleotide transfer RNA is filed under the name Dactylosporangium sucinum. RNAcentral's name for it is "tRNA-Gly". It matches the Rfam family "tRNA". Rfam says of the family: Transfer RNA (tRNA) molecules are approximately 80 nucleotides in length. Their secondary structure includes four short double-helical elements and three loops (D, anti-codon, and T loops). Lineage: Bacteria; Bacillati; Actinomycetota; Actinomycetes; Micromonosporales; Micromonosporaceae. The record is from RNAcentral.